GACGAACGCUGGCGGCGUGCUUAACACAUGCAAGUCGAACGGAAAGGCCCCUUUGGGGGUACUCGAGUGGCGAACGGGUGAGUAACACGUGAGUAACCUGCCCUUGACUUCGGGAUAACUUCAGGAAACUGGGGCUAAUACCGGAUAGGAAUCCUUGCUGCAUGGUGGGGGUUGGAAAGCUUCGGCGGUUUUGGAUGGACUCGCGGCUUAUCAGCUUGUUGGUGGGGUAGUGGCUUACCAAGGCUUUGACGGGUAGCCGGCCUGGGAGGGCGACCGGCCACAUUGGGACUGAGAUACGGCCCAGACUCCUACGGGAGGCAGCAGUGGGGAAUAUUGCACAAUGGGCGGGAGCCUGAUGCAGCAACGCCGCGUGCGGGAUGACGGCCUUCGGGUUGGAAACCGCUUUCAGCAGGGGCGAAGCUUGUGGUGACGGUACCUGCAGAAGAAGCACCGGCUAACUACGUG
Molecule: ribosomal RNA, 465 nt
Filed under: uncultured bacterium
Lineage: Bacteria
Description: partial 16S ribosomal RNA
Rfam family: Bacterial small subunit ribosomal RNA
Source: RNAcentral